Molecule: long non-coding RNA, 2202 nt
Organism: Brienomyrus brachyistius
Lineage: Eukaryota; Metazoa; Chordata; Actinopteri; Osteoglossiformes; Mormyridae
Exons: 3
Source: RefSeq, a predicted model, not a curated record
CUUCUCCUCCUCCUCACUGAAAAGGCAUCCGGUCUUUACCUGUUUAGGGAGACCUUUAUCCAACAUGACAGGAGCAAAGGAGCAACGAGGCGCAGGGGUCUAUCAGACCCCGUAGGGUCAGAAGUCAUAAAUGGGAGGCAACUUCUCUUCCUACGUAAGACAGGCUUUUCAAACAGAUGAGGGAAAUGUACAAGACAGACAGGUCAUGAUCUGGACGGCAGAAACUAAAAUGGUGGCAGAGGGGGGCGGCGGCCAAAUCGGCAGGUGUCAGUCACGGCUGAGGGACAGGACUGUGAAAGAGAGAGAGCGUGCUCAUCUAAACGGAUGCCGGAGGGGGGGGCAUGGCCUGGCCGCUCCUGUGGGGGGCGGGAAUAGGAUAUGGAGCCAGUCCCCCCAGGAGGAAGCAAAGAAGAGGCUGUGUGGAGUGCCCCCACCCCCGACCGGCCCCUCUUGAUGCUGCUUUAUAGAGAGAAUCUGCUUCACAGGCAAUGUGGGGGCCCCCGCACUUCAGAGGGCCCUCCCAGAAAGCUCCGGGCUGUGGGUCCCUAGAUGGCGGGCCCUUGACGCACAGAAGAAGCAAACGGGAAGGGGGGAUGGAGGGGUCCAGGGAGAGCAGUAGAGGGGGAAACAGCCCGGGGCAGAGAGUCACUGUGAGGAGAUUCGGCUCUAUAUGUAACUGCCGUGUUUGAGCUCUACUACACAACAUCGGGGAUUAGUGUGGUAUGCCAUAGCCCUACCCAUAGCCAAAGCAUUAACCACAACCAUAACUGUAUCCGUAACAUCAGCCAUAACCCCAACAUUAACCAUGACUGUCAGGAUCGCUCCCUGUCCUGCCCCCUUUUAGUUAUGUCCGUCAGUUCCCUGUUUGGCCAGCGGGUGUCGCUGGUCAUCCCCUUCUGUCUUCCCGCUGUUUCCUGCAGUUAGCACCCUAAUGUGUUUACCUGUUCCCUGGGCCACCGCGUAGCCUAAUGGGCUGAGAGGGUCAUCAAGGCUUCUCUUUUGUUGCAGGUUCGAGGCUGGUCAGAGGUCUCAGCUAUGUUUGAUGAAAUCCUUGUUAAGUUUAUUUAAGUGCCCUUACGUUGUUCCCCAGCUGGUUAUUAUGUGUUUCCAGAUGUUGUUGCCCCAUGUUUGGUGCUGCUGCUGCUCCCCUGUUCUUGUUCCUGUUGCCCCUUUGUUCUUGAUGUGUUCCUGGUUGUUUUUCACCGCUCAUGGUGCCUUUGGUUUCUUGUGUUUUUCUCUUGAGUAAUUAAAUCACCAUGUCCUUCCGUCGCAGAAAGAUUAGCCAUAACCCUAGCCGUAGCCAAAACAUUAACUAGCGCCAUAAACUUUGCAUAAAUUUAACCAAAAUCCCAACAGUAACCAUAAACUUAAUCUAGCAGGAAACUGAUCCGGCAGCAUUUCUGGUUCCUUAACCGCUCCUGGCCAGCCUGCCAGAUUCCCUCACACGUCCACGGCUUGUCGGUACCUCUCGGGGAGAACAUCUCAGGUCAAGUUUCCAUGGAGAUGAGUGGGAAGGGUGCCCCCUCUGGCACGGGGCUGUGAUCUCCGCCCCGCACGUUCCCAUAGCCACAGCCCGCCGCUUCUGCGGAUCACACGAUGCCUCACUGACUGCAACACGACCCGUCAGUCAGCGGUGCUUUGAAAACGCAAUCAAAGUCUUACAGUCUCCCCUAGGCAGUGCGAGAGUGGGGGGCACUUUUAAUUUGACAGAAACUGGUCCCCCACUACACACAUAAUUGUGAGGAGAUGUGGGGCUGGGGGGGGGGUGUACAGGGUUAAAAAUAUAAGGAUCCUAUAGACAGAACCCUGGCAGUUUUACCCCAGUAUCUGUGGGACAGUAAGCUCAUUCUCACCACACGCCAUAACUAAGGUAGCCUUCUACAAAAGUUUCCAUAUAAGCUACCAAAUAUGGUACAGCGACAGGCUGGGGAGCAUGAACACCAGCCUGUAACGUGUUCAGGGUUCAGUGGCGAGAUGCUGACGUUCAGGCACGGAGCGGCGAAUCCUUCCGAAAGGCCACUCGCCCGUGCCGCGUGGGAAUAGAGCAGAGUCUUUGGAGAGUACUGCCACAUCAGCCCCCCCCUCGCCCCCACCAUCCCGCCGCUGUCGAUCUCGCAUGGAGGAGGCUUGGCUGAGAGACCCUCCCCCAUGAAUAAUGAAAAGCAGCGAGUCAGCGCCAAAUUUCGCCCACAUUUAAAGUUG